UUUUUAGCAGCCAAGUACUUUGUUUCCAAUUCAAAAGCAAUAGUUCAUUUUUUUGCAAUUUCUUGCCAGAAUCUGGAGAGAGACACCUAUAUAAAUGUUGCAUGAAUACAAUGAUCAUCUUCUUCCUAUUGUUUGAGGCCGUAUACCAGAUAUCAGCUCAUGAUGAGCUGUUGGUCACAUCUGGCCAAAGCCCUUCAGGAAACUUUGAGAUUGAAAUCACUGGUGGAGCAGAGUUCACGAAGGGCCAAAGAUGAAGAAUGUAGUUUCUCUAAAAGUGAAAUAAUGGGACAAUAACUGUCAGCCAAAUGUCUCGGAGAGCUCACAGUCCCUUUUGAUGAAAUUCCAUGUUUCUUACUUGAAAGGGCUGCACCCAUGAUUAGGACUUCCUCCUCUUGAUCAGUGACUCAGACCUGAGUCAGUCAGAAAGCAAAACCAGGCCUGACCCAGCCAGUCCCAUCAAGCAGAGAAGUAGACAGCUUCAGGGGAGGCAGGGGUGAGCAGAGCUGCCAAGAGCAAAAAGAAACCAUUCAUAUCACCUUAGAUACCACGGCUCUUCCUACUCCAGGUGCUUCCUGGAGAGGUAUAGAUGCAAAACUAUAGGAGUCUUUAGAAGAAGCAACCAGCCGGACUGUCUUGAAACGCGAUCAGAAAAAGCCAAGAAUAGAGAUGGGGUUGUUCAGGAAAAAUCUGUGAGGACCCUCUUUUCUGAAUGUGUGAAUCAAUGUGACAUACGUAGAAGACCCACAAGAUUUUUGAGAAUGUUCUACCAUCAGAAACACUUCCAACUGGGCCUAAAAGGGACAGAGACAGAAAAAAAUGAAAGAAGAUUGUGAGACUGCCAGAAUUCUACAGGCUUUGAAAUGUGCCCCAUGUGAAGGUGAAUAGAUUCUGAUACUAUGAAGAGUGACCUGGUUAAAGCAUAAGGUUGAAGACAGGAACAUAGUUAUAUGAAAAUGUGCAUCCUGGGUCAGGCGCGGUGGCUCACGCCUGUAAUCCCAGCACUUUGGGUGGCCGAGGUGGGCAGAUCACCUGAGGUCGGGAGUUUGAGACCAGCCUGACCAACAUGGAGAAACCCCAUCUCUACUAAAAAUACAAAAUUAGCCGGGCAUGGUGGCGCAUGCCUGUAAUCCCAGCUACUCGGGAGGCUGAGGCAGGAGAAUCACUUAAAUCUGGGAGGCAGAGGUUGUGGUGAGCAGAGAUCGUGCCAUUGCCAGCCUGGGCAACAAGAGUGAAACUCUGUCUCAAAAAAGAAAAAAGAAAAAGAAAAGAAAAAGGAAGAAAGAGAAAAGAAAGAAAGAGAAAGAAAGAAAGAAAGAGAGGAAAAAGAAAGAAAGAAAAGAAAAUGUGCAUCCUAUGGAGAAAGCGUGGCCAAAACAAAAGUAAUAUUCAAAUCUUUCACUAAAAAGGAAUAUAAAACCAUGGCCCAGCUUAAACAUGGUUCUGCAGCUUCUGAAUAUCAGGUUAACCAGCUCAAACAGAUGUCAAGGCUUUCCCUGCUGUCAUAUGAGUAAGAAGCUUUAUGCCUUUUCUAAGCAUAAAUUGAUUUGGCAUUCAUCUCAAAACCUUCUUAACUGAGUCCUGCAGUAAAUGGACUAAACCCAUUAUAGUAUUGCUUCAGAAUUCAUUCAUGCAAUCAUUUAUUCAGCAACUAUGUACAAAGCACAUCAUCCACAAAAUACCUGGAUGUCACAAAGUUUCAGAUCCACACCUAAAUCUACAUCAUUAAUUUCCUUCUUACCGAAGACUUUGUCAAGUGAAAUAACUGGGGAAUAAGCACAAUACAGAUAAAGCUUAAACACAAUGUGACAUGAGAUAGACUGGAGGACUCGAGCUGCAUUAUGUAACCUGGGAGUGUGCAAACAAUCCUCUAACACAGUGAGCGAGUGCCAAAAGUACAAGGCUGUAUCUUGAAUAUGGCAUGAGGCGGUAAACUUGGGAUUGAAAAAAACUGUUAUAAAAGGGCCACGUCCAUUAUUCAUUCCCCACAAGGUUAGGCGUCCAUCUGUUGUUGCCUAGGGGAAGGCUGUUUCUUUCCCUAUGGUGCUUCAUAGGCAUGUAGAGAUACCAGUGUUGACCUAACAUUAUAUACUAGUCCCUCACAGCAGGAUAACAUAAACGAAGUCUAUGACCCUUAUAUACAUAGUGUUACAAAAUAUCCCAUUUUAAUGCCAAUUAGUAGGCUAGAAAACAAAGUAAAAGAAACCCUCUGUAAUUUACAAUGAGCUUUGCUUUCUCCAAAGCCCUUUGAAAGUGACAAUGUGGCAGAUUUACCAUCAGUGGUCAGGCAUUGUUUCUGGCAAAGAGAGCAAGUAGAGGUCUGGGUCUAUUGCAGCUUAGGCUAAGGAAACCAAGAAAACUUUUUAUGUUGCUUCCAAAAAUGUCCAUAGAGUAGCUAUUUGCAUCCCAAGCACUGAUGAGAGAAAGAUGAUUUAUUUUGGACUGUUAUACUGAAAUCAUCUCAUAUGGACUUACAUUUUUUCCCCCUUGUGUCCAAAAUGGUUUUAUUUAUGCUUUUCUCUGUGAUUUUAGAAAUCCUGACUUGGAAAUAGUUUUUUACUCACCAGAAAUGACUGCAAGGUGGCAGCCAAAUUAGGCUUGAGCCUAAUCUCUUUGUGGGGGACAGCCAAUUGCUCUACUAGUUGACCAGAUUCUUUCUCCUCACUGUGA
This 2667-nucleotide long non-coding RNA is filed under the name Homo sapiens (human). RNAcentral describes it as "HSALNT0284595". The record is from RNAcentral. Lineage: Eukaryota; Metazoa; Chordata; Mammalia; Primates; Hominidae.